RNAcentral lists this transfer-messenger RNA (355 nucleotides) under Desulfurellia. RNAcentral describes it as "JAADFJ01 sp913009315 Standard tmRNA". It matches the Rfam family "transfer-messenger RNA". From Rfam's summary of the family: Bacterial tmRNA, also known as 10Sa RNA or SsrA, is named for its dual tRNA and mRNA-like properties. Lineage: Bacteria; Pseudomonadati; Campylobacterota. RNAcentral also lists the same sequence under 1 other name. The record is from RNAcentral.
GGGGGUGAUUGGACUCGACAGAAAUGGAGGAAGAUGAGAGCAUGCCGAGGUUGCACUGUGCUCGUUAAACAGGUGCAAAACAAAUAAACGCAAACGAAAAUAGUUACGCGUUAGCUGCUUAGUCAGCUAAGGGAUUAUAUCCAACUUAACCUUCUGAGGUGCUUAUAAUCUCUAAUUAAAAGGAAGGCGGUCUGAAAUGAAUAGCUUUGUGGUUUCAGACUUGUAUUACAAAGCUGAAGAUUUUACCGAUUUGUCAUCUUAAAGGUAAAAUCUAAAACUCAAAGAUGACUAAGCAUGUAGCGUUCAUCGGGUAACCAUUUACUGGACGCGGGUUCGAUUCCCGCCACCUCCACCA